This is an RNA transcript of Zingiber officinale, 4334 nucleotides long. It is a transcript of the gene named putative D-cysteine desulfhydrase 1, mitochondrial, with no coding region annotated. Lineage: Eukaryota; Viridiplantae; Streptophyta; Magnoliopsida; Zingiberales; Zingiberaceae. The transcript has 6 exons. The record is from RefSeq and is a predicted model, not a curated record.
UGCUGCAAAUGCCAAGGAGACGAAGGGGCGCCCUUUCCCCUUCGUCUUCCUCAGCCUUCCUAUAAAAGGAGCGUCCAAGUGGAGAUCAAAGGGGAGGUGAGCAGAAGCUUCACGAAGGUGAUCUGAGAGGGCAAAGGAUUGGAGGUGAUCGUGUGCGAGCAAAGGGUCCAGAGGCUAUGAUUUGGCUUGUGAAUCUUGAAGCGCUUUCCGGUUGCUCCGUGAUCGUGCUUCCGACAGCAGCAACCUCUUCAUCGACCGCCGACGUUUUCAGUUGCAACUUCGGGAGAUCACUGUGAGUGAUUAUAAUUACCAUUAUGCUUCGUUUUAGAUUUCAUGCUUUCUGGUCCAACCAUCGAGAAUGGAGCUGAUUGUGUCAUUAAGGUGGGAGGGAUCUAGAGUAAUCACUGUCGUGCUACUGCUGUUGCUGCUAGAUAUCUAAAUCUUGAUUGCUAUCUGAUACUACGCAAUUCCAAGGCUCUAGCGGAGAAGGAUCCAGGCUUGGUUGGCAAUCUCCUUGUCGAACGAUUAGUUGGUGCUCAUAUUGAUCUUGUGUCCAAGGAGGAAUAUGCUAAGAUAGGCAGUGUGGUUAGUUCUCUUCUGCAUGCAAUUCUGCCUAUUUGAGAGAAAUUUGCACGAGCUAGCUCCCAAUGGAUUGUAAAUGAUCAUGGUUAAAUAUGUUGGCUUAGAAUCGAUAAAUAGUACACCCAAGACACACACUAAUAUGCAAGAGGAAUAGAGUGAGGAGGAAGAUAAUUGAUAAAAUACUUUCUUAGAAGAUGGAAAAAUGAAUUGAUUCAUUACACAUCUCUAGGACCCUUUAAAUACACCACAAACCUAUGACUAAUUCCUAUAUUUUAUUCCAUGAAAAUAGGAAGACUAAUUCCACUCAUUUAUCCCUUAAAAUUAGGAAAGCUUAUCACCACUAACGCAAGGAAAAAAAAUAAAAAAAAAAUAAAACCACGUAGCCACUACUUAUCAUGUCCGGAUUAUAUGCUCACAUUAUCCCUCCUAAUCCUGACAUGAUUCUAAGUCACGGACGUCGAGUAGUUAUCGCAUGGCAGCUAGCUUCUUUGGCCCCGCGCCAAAGCAUGUUUGCACACCAAGUGCUCGGCCCCAACUCGAUCUCUUCGGCACCACGAACAAGUCUCGUCUGUUAGUUCUCUUGGCGCCACGGGCAAGUCCGUCUGCACGCACAUUCGUUGCCACAAACAAGUCCCGUAUGUCUGCUCCUUUGGCAACAUGAGCAAGUCCAUCUGCUCGCACAACGGACAAGUCCAUCUGUCCGCCUUUGCUGCUUGGCAUAUGUUGCAUAUCUGCCAUGCCCGCUUCGGUGCCAAGUUCACCUCCUGCAAACUUGGGCUUGGAACGUGCCCAACGCACUGCCAAUCCUCUGCUUGGUAUGGCUUGCACCCAUUCCACACUUGCUGGUUUGCCAAGUCUUCCUCCUGUAAGACUUGGGCUUGGGCAGCCCUGCACUGCCGCUCUGCUUGGCAUGCCUUCCGCACAUGCCCGACUCGGAUAUAUGCCAAGCCUGCCUCCUGCAGACUUGCACAUGGACAGUGCCCCGCGCACUUCCGGUUCGUUGCUUUGCAUGUUCCCUAGUCAGGUUGGGUCUUCUAGUCUUGCUGGGAGACACACUUGCUUGAAUAUCUUCAAGGUUAUCUUGUACAAGCGAUUCUGUGUUCGCUUUACCAGCAUCAAGAUCUUCCCGCUCCUAUCAAUCACCUUCAUGGUAUCUCUUUUCAUGUGCACCUCGUUCCCAGUUUCUGUCAAUUGACCGAGACUUAUGAUAUUACUACAAAGUUUCGGAAUGUAGUAUACCUCGUGGAGAGCCUUCCGAUCGCCGUUCUUGCAUUUGAACACAAUCGUCCCUUUGCCCAUGAUCUCAAUGGUUGAUCCAUCACCAAACCUCACCCUCCCGGUGAUGGUUUCAUCUAGUUCUUGAAACUUCUCGCGAUGGCCAGUCAUGUGGUUGUUGGCACCGUUGUCAAGGUACCAGACGUCUUUAUCUCCUUUAUUAACGCCGCGGUACAUCUCCAGUAGCAACCUAUCUUCACUAAGCAGAAUGGUAUCCUGCCGCUCACAUCUAGUGUUAGACUUCUCGUGGGACACGGUCAUCAUCAGUGUUGGCUCUUCAUCGGUGGCGCAAGUGAGGUGAGCCUCAUCAUCACGCCGCUUGUUGUAGCAUUCGGAUGCAUAAUGCCCUAUUUUCUCACAAUUGAAACACUUUAUAUGUCUCUUAUCACGAGUGCCUCUGCCGUUGCCGCUAGUGCCUCCUGCACUGUCUUGACUCGGCGUACCACGACCACGACUGCGCCAUUUGCCAUACUAGGGCUGCUGGAUCCACGCCCCUUUCCUCCUGACGAAGUGUCCAUGUUGCUCCCCUUUUGUCGCAUUUGCCAUUCGGCAUGAGUAAGUAGGAGCUCUCCUUCAGUGUCGUUUGUGUUGCCGCGUAAUCGUAAUGUUCGUUCCUCGUACGUCUUCAGUCGCCCAAUAGUCUCCUCAAAUGGUAUCGUCUCAAGAUCGUGAAACUUCUCAAUACCGGCAACAAUAGGGAAGAACUUAUCAGGGACAGAAUCGAGUAACUUCUUUACCAAAGAUGAAUCUUCAAGCGUGACACCAAGAGCGGAGAACUUGCUGCUCAUAGCACUAAGUUUGCCAGCAAACUCAUCAAUCGUGUCGGUCUCCGUCAUCCGGAGGGCGUCAAACUCGCUCUUCAACGUUUAUACGCGUGCCUUCUUCACUCGAUCACUUCCAAGGUACCUCGUCUUGAGGCUGUCCCAGACUUCCUUCGCCGUCUUUUUUUUUGCGAUCUGGAGAAGUAUGUCUUCGGGGACACACUUCAAGAUGUAUGCACGUGCCUUUUUAUCCUUCUUUGCAUCCACCUGGGCUCCUUCUACUGGCUCCACCGCCUCCCAGACUCCCUGGGCAUCAAAGAUCGCCUCUGUCUUUAUUGCCCACACAGUAUAAUUGUGAGGGCUUAGCAUCGGAUAGAGAAAUGACACUCCGCCGUUUUCCUUUACAACAACUUGUGGGAUGCCAGACAUUUUUGUGAAAUCGUGGAUUCUUGGGUGUUCUAUACUGCCAAGGCUCUGAUACCAAAUGUUGGCUUAGAAUCGAUAAAUAGCACACCCAAGGCACAUACUAAUAUGCAAGAGGAAUAGAGUGAGGAGGAAGAUAAUUGAUAAAAUACUUUCUUAGAAGAUGGAAAAAUGAAUUGGUUCAUUACACAUCUCUAGGACCCUUUAAAUACACCACAAACCUAUGACAAAUUCCUAUAUUUUAUCCCAUGAAAAUAGGAAGACUAAUUCCUAUAUUUUAUCCCAUGAAAAUAGGAAGACUAAUUCCACUCAUUUAUCCCUUAAAACUAGGAAAAUUUAUCACCACUAACGCAAGGAAAAAAAAUAAAACCACGUAGUCACUACUUAUCAUACCCGGAUUAUAUGCUCACAAAAUACUCACUUAAUGACAGUGUAAACGUAAACACUUUACUGAAGGUCUAGUACUUUGACCAAUCCUUUUUACCUUACAAUCGCCAUUUUGUUGGUGAUUUUGCAUCAACUUGCACAUUCCAAGCAACGGAGUAACUCCAAACUUAGAAUUAUGCUUUUCUUGCUAAUUUGAAAGUUAUCAAAGUAAAUGAUCCUUAUUGUUGGAUACGACUUAAUUUUAUUAUUCUAUCAGAGUAGAGUGUGGCAAACUAAACAUGAACUUUCCCCCUUAGAACUCCUACUUACUAAUGAAGACUUGUUUGACAUGUAGAUUGUUGAUUAACUCGUGAAGUGUACCGGUGUAGAUGAUUUAUUAUGGAUGAAACUCUUGCUGACUUGCUAAAGAAGAAGCUAAUGAAGGAAGGGAGAAAUCCAUAUGUUAUUCCUCUUGGUGGAUCAAACUCUUUGGGGAUUUGGGGCUAUAUUGAAGCAAUAAGUGAGAUUGAGCAGCAAAUUCAAAGCAAUUGUGGUGGACCUCAAUUUGAUGACAUUGUUGUUGCAUGUGGCAGUGGCGGAACAAUGGCUGGACUUUCUCUGGGAUCAAAACUGAGUAACUUGAAGGCAAAAGUUCAUGCAUUUUCUGUAUGGGACGAUCCCAAUUAUUUCUACAACUUUGUUCAAGGUCUGAUUGAUGGUCUUGGAGCUCGUUCUGAUGCACAUGAUUUAGUUGAAAUUCAGGAUGAGUUUAAGGUUUCUUGAUCAACAAUUCAUUUUGUUGAUGAACUGUUUUUAUUAUCUCAAUAUUAAUAUUCAAUGCUUUCUUGAUAGCAACUUGAAGCUAUGACUUAUAUAGUUGUAAGUCAUAAUUAUGACAUUUGGAAACUUAUCCUAACAUAUUCUAUA